UUAAUAGAAGCCAAAAAGAGGCGUAUCACUGUUAAUGAUAUCAUUGAAAUUAAAAUAAAUUUCCUAUUAAG
This 71-nucleotide transfer RNA is filed under the name Upogebia major. RNAcentral describes it as "tRNA-Asn". The record is from RNAcentral. Lineage: Eukaryota; Metazoa; Arthropoda; Malacostraca; Decapoda; Upogebiidae.